ACAGCAGCCGCCGCGGUAAUACAGAGGGUGCGAGCGUUAAUCGGAUUUACUGGGCGUAAAGCGUGCGUAGGCGGCUUUUUAAGUCGGAUGUGAAAUCCCUGAGCUUAACUUAGGAAUUGCAUUCGAUACUGGGAAGCUAGAGUAUGGGAGAGGAUGGUAGAAUUCCAGGUGUAGCGGUGAAAUGCGUAGAGAUCUGGAGGAAUACCGAUGGCGAAGGCAGCCAUCUGGCCUAAUACUGACGCUGAGGUACGAAAGCAUGGGGAGCAAACAGGAUUAGAUACCCCAGUAGUCCCUGUCUCUUAUAA
This 305-nucleotide ribosomal RNA is filed under the name uncultured bacterium. RNAcentral describes it as "partial 16S ribosomal RNA". It matches the Rfam family "Bacterial small subunit ribosomal RNA", at positions 508 to 809 of the family's 1533-position model. The record is from RNAcentral.